GACGAACGCUGGCGGCGUGCUUAACACAUGCAAGUCGAACGGUGAACCUCUUCGGAGGGGAUCAGUGGCGAACGGGUGAGUAACACGUGGGCAACCUGCCCCCGGCUCUGGGAUAACUCCAAGAAAUUGGGGCUAAUACCGGAUGUUCACCGCUUCCCGCAUGGGUGGUGGUGGAAAGGGUUUCCGGCUGGGGAUGGGCCCGCGGCCUAUCAGCUUGUUGGUGGGGUAGUGGCCUACCAAGGCGACGACGGGUAGCCGGCCUGAGAGGGUGACCGGCCACAGUGGGACUGAGCAGGGGCCAGGACUCCUCCGGGAGGCAGCGGUGGGAAUUGUGGCGCACGGGGCGGAAGCCGGACGCAAGGCCGCCGCGUGGGGAAAGACGGCUUUCGGUUUGUAACCCUUUUCCAGCGGGGACGAAGGGCAAUUGACGGUACCUGAAAAAAAAGCCCCGGCCAACUACGUG
This 463-nucleotide ribosomal RNA is filed under the name uncultured bacterium. RNAcentral's name for it is "partial 16S ribosomal RNA". It matches the Rfam family "Bacterial small subunit ribosomal RNA", at positions 28 to 507 of the family's 1533-position model. The record is from RNAcentral.